CAGAACAUGGCCAAGUUAGAAAAGCAUCUCAAUUACACCGAGAAGUCGCCCGUGCAAAUCGGACUGUCCUGA
RNAcentral lists this transfer RNA (72 nucleotides) under Gadiculus argenteus (silvery cod). RNAcentral describes it as "tRNA-Val". It matches the Rfam family "tRNA". From Rfam's summary of the family: Transfer RNA (tRNA) molecules are approximately 80 nucleotides in length. RNAcentral also lists the same sequence under 1 other name. The record is from RNAcentral. Lineage: Eukaryota; Metazoa; Chordata; Actinopteri; Gadiformes; Gadidae.